ACGAGUGCAGCGGCCAGAAAUCGCUAUCGCCGAUGACAAAUAUUUUGCUAUAUUCGCAUCCGCAGUUGAUUUGCAGAUGCUGUCCUCUUGCACCUUCUCAACGCUGGAAUCUUCCAAGGGGGGUAGGAGAAUGGAAUUCUUCCAAAAGUUUCAGUUCCCAAGAAAUUUGAAAAUGACGGACGGAAUGCAACUGAUCAAACAAAGGUGCAAGUACCUACUGGGUUCCCUACUUGAACAGAAGAGGUCUCUGACAAUAACUGCAAAUAAUUGGUGUUGUUGAAAGAUGGUCAGGUUGUACCUACGAUUAUUACAUUUGAUCUCCAAGUAUGAGUGCCAAAGAUACUGAUGAUGCCAGCAAAUUAAACUUAUAAUUCUGC
This is a long non-coding RNA of Uloborus diversus, 377 nucleotides long. RefSeq lists it as uncharacterized. NCBI's taxonomy places the organism in Eukaryota, Metazoa, Arthropoda, Arachnida, Araneae, Uloboridae. The transcript has 3 exons. The record is from RefSeq and is a predicted model, not a curated record.